GCCGCUAUAGCUCAGUGGUAGAGCACUGGUCUCGUAAACCAGGGGUCGUGAGUUCAAACCUCGCGGGCGGCA
RNAcentral lists this transfer RNA (72 nucleotides) under Dermacentor andersoni. RNAcentral's name for it is "transfer RNA threonine (anticodon CGU)". It matches the Rfam family "tRNA". Rfam says of the family: Transfer RNA (tRNA) molecules are approximately 80 nucleotides in length. Their secondary structure includes four short double-helical elements and three loops (D, anti-codon, and T loops). Lineage: Eukaryota; Metazoa; Arthropoda; Arachnida; Ixodida; Ixodidae. The record is from RNAcentral.